AAAGUUCUCAACCAUGUCGGUUUUUCCGGUGUGGCUUGGAUUUGAGGGGAUUUUGCAGGCUUUUAAAACAGAAGUCGGCUCCCUUGAAAAGGAUUAGCGGUAUCUGAGCAAGAAACUACGUCAGGUGUGAUAAAUUAUCUAUGCCUCGGUGUAAACUUUAUGCGUGGACCGCUUCUAACCUGUGAAGGGUGUUGUUGACAA
Molecule: unclassified non-coding RNA, 201 nt
Filed under: uncultured Inocybe
Lineage: Eukaryota; Fungi; Basidiomycota; Agaricomycetes; Agaricales; Cortinariaceae
Description: sequence contains ITS2
Source: RNAcentral